CUUUUCUGUAUUAGGUGGAAAAUCAACUUUCAUUGAUUUUGUUUUGAAUGUUGGUCGCUUUGCAAGAGUGAUGAACAUUUGACUCUGCUUCUAAAGAUGGUUCCGGAGAGCCAAGAAAAGGCCCAAAACAGUUUUACAAACAAAUUAGAAAAGAGUUAACGUCUCCACCUAAUUCAAACUGAACCAGGUACCAGAGAGUUACCCGGACAAAAGCAAGAUUGAAAGCAGCUGAUUAAUUGCCUUCUAGCGGAGGGCAUGGAAGGCCAUCAGUCUUCAGUACUCGAAGUAAGGAUGGUGGUGGCGUAUUUGCCCAUCUGUUUAGACCCACCAUCCCUUUGGCAAGCGAAGCCGCAGUGUGAACGACUGAAUUCGCUUCUCGGGGAAUCGAAUCCCAGCAUAUUUCAGAGAACUGGAGGCUUCUUCUUCUAAUCUCUUCAAUUCAAGGAAUUGAUGCCGUCCAACACAGCCAUUGUCUUUGUGUCUAAUGGUUAGCCAGCUAUUCUCUGUCAGCAGCUGUUGAGUCCCACAUCAAUAGAAGUGAAACUCAAGGAGGUGAAUGAGAAUAUAAAAGACAAUUCCCACAAGUGGAUGGGUUCUGCAUCAUUGGAGAGACGAGGAGUGUGCAUUCGUAUACUGAAACAUUUCAGGGAAGUAAUUCCUGGGGAUAAAGUGAAGCUGAUAAUUGUGGAUGCUAUUAUUGAUGACGAUGAGAUCAAACUAGACAAGCUAGCUAAUAGAUGUGAGGUUGAUGGCCCAUACUAACUAGCAGAGAAAGGAGAUUGAAGGAAUGCU
Molecule: long non-coding RNA, 792 nt
Organism: Rosa chinensis
Lineage: Eukaryota; Viridiplantae; Streptophyta; Magnoliopsida; Rosales; Rosaceae
Exons: 4
Source: RefSeq, a predicted model, not a curated record